Long non-coding RNA from Belonocnema kinseyi, 723 nucleotides. RefSeq lists it as uncharacterized. Lineage: Eukaryota; Metazoa; Arthropoda; Insecta; Hymenoptera; Cynipidae. The record is from RefSeq and is a predicted model, not a curated record. The transcript has 3 exons.
AUAAAUAAUAAUACAGCGGACUACACAUGAGAAAAUAAAAUGUCAAAAUAAACUCGAUUUUGAAAAUAAUGAUCUAUUUUCGAAGGAAACUUUUUGGACUUAAGCUCCUUUAAGGAUAUUGUUUUCUGGAAAUUACCGACAUUGCAGAUGUUCCAAGUUCCCGUGUCUGCGAUUUCAAACGAGGGGCCAUUUACUUUCGAGUCAAGGGGAUUAAGCCUUUGAAAUCAAUAUGAAACCAAAUGCAACAAUCAUAAUACAUUGUGACUUCAUCUGAAACCAGCGGCAUCUGAGUGGGUUUUUUGUAAAAGAUCCAAUAUUUUAAAAUGAGUGAAAAUCGAGCGAAAUUAGCAAAAAUCUCUUAAAUUAUUUCGAAAUAUUGAGCGAGUCAGUAGGAGUCAACGGAAAUUGUGAGCAAUCACGAGCAGUCAAGCGAGCAUAUCAAGAGAGCAGUCAGUGUAGUCAGUGCAAAUAUUGUGCGCAAAAAAUCAGCGUGCAACCACAGAUUUGCUCAUGUCGUUAAUUUCAUUUCGACUGACUUACCGUUCAAAAACUAAAAUAAAAGGCGGCUUACCUGCCAGCGGCCUGCUGCUCACUUGGUUAAACAUGGUACAAUUCGAUAAAGUCGGUAGAGAAGAUCGGAGUUGGUCAAAUGGGAAUCAUAGCGUUCUUGUUUUAUAUUUUUAUUUCUAAUUUUUUAAUAUAUAUUAAUAUUGUGCAAUUUUU